RNAcentral lists this transfer RNA (72 nucleotides) under Marmota monax (woodchuck). RNAcentral's name for it is "tRNA.Val". The record is from RNAcentral. Lineage: Eukaryota; Metazoa; Chordata; Mammalia; Rodentia; Sciuridae.
UGGGUUUUGGCUCAGUGGUAGACCACUUUUCUAACAUGUGCAGUGGGCUGGGUUUGAUCCCCAGAACCCCCA